Molecule: ribosomal RNA, 462 nt
Filed under: uncultured bacterium
Lineage: Bacteria
Description: partial 16S ribosomal RNA
Rfam family: Bacterial small subunit ribosomal RNA
Source: RNAcentral
GACGAACGCUGGCGGCGUGCUUAACACAUGCAAGUCGAACGGUGAAGCCCUUCGGGGUGGAUCAGUGGCGAACGGGUGAGUAACACGUGAGCAACCUGCCCCUGGCUCUGGGACAACCACUGGAAACGGUGGCUAAUACCGGAUACGACCCGCCUCGGCAUCGAGUGUGGGUGGAAAGUUUUUCGGCUGGGGAUGGGCUCGCGGCCUAUCAGCUUGUUGGUGAGGUGAAGGCUCACCAAGGCGACGACGGGGAGCCGGCCUGAGAGGGCGACCGGCCACACUGGGACUGAGACACGGCCCAGACUCCUACGGGAGGCAGCAGUGGGGAAUAUCGCACAAUGGGCGAAAGCCUGAUGCAGCGACGCCGCGUGAGGGAUGACGGCCUUCGGGUUGUAAACCUCUUUCAGCUCCGAAGAAGCGAAAGUGACGGUAGGAGCAGAAGAAGCACCGGCUAACUACGUG